This 363-nucleotide ribosomal RNA is filed under the name Triticum aestivum (bread wheat). RNAcentral describes it as "partial small subunit ribosomal RNA". Lineage: Eukaryota; Viridiplantae; Streptophyta; Magnoliopsida; Poales; Poaceae. The record is from RNAcentral.
AUGGCGGGGUGGUGGGAGAAGGCUACGAAGAAGCUAAGAGAGGAGGAUGCAGCCGCACUAGAUAAGGAGAAGAAAGAGGAGAUCGAAGAGAAGAGGAAGGAACAUGAGAGAGGAAUUUUUGAGUAUAUCACUAGGCAACACAAGUUGAAGAUAAAAUGUGAGGAGGCAGAGAAGAAGCGCCUAAAGGAUUUUCAAGAAAGAGCCUUGAAACUUUGGGCUUUUGAAGCUGAAAAGAAAGAGAGGGAGAACAAGAUAUUCAUGGAGAGGGUGGUUAAGGAGGCUCACCGCAUAAGGAAAAGGGAGGAGGAAGAAGAAGAAGAGAUGAAGAAGAAGAAGGGAAAGGGGUCUUGCUCGACGCAAUAG